Molecule: long non-coding RNA, 208 nt
Filed under: Ictidomys tridecemlineatus (thirteen-lined ground squirrel)
Lineage: Eukaryota; Metazoa; Chordata; Mammalia; Rodentia; Sciuridae
Description: lncRNA (ENSSTOG00000032764.1)
Source: RNAcentral
UGACCCUAUCCAAGUCUAGUGGAGCCAACCGACAGACCCAUCAGUGAAAAAGCUCUGGCUAAGAGAAGUAUGUCCAGAGGGAUUCCACUGUACCUGUGAUGACGGACUAUGGACAGCUCAGAGAGGAGGAUGUAUAAACACUUGGACUGCCACUUCUGAAAGGUCAGUUAUCUAUGCUAGAAGGAUCACGAAGUCUUAGGCCAAUAAG